GAUGAGAAGCUUCUACCAGGGUUCGAUUCGAGCGCAGCGAGAAAGCGUUGCCGCAGGCAACGACCCGAAGGGCGAAGCGCGCAGC
Molecule: small RNA, 85 nt
Filed under: Salmonella enterica subsp. enterica serovar Typhimurium
Lineage: Bacteria; Pseudomonadati; Pseudomonadota; Gammaproteobacteria; Enterobacterales; Enterobacteriaceae
Description: RtT RNA
Rfam family: RtT RNA
About the family: This family represents a bacterial cis-regulatory element known as RtT RNA. The exact function of RtT is unknown although it is thought that it may be involved in changing the cellular response in relation to amino acid starvation.
Source: RNAcentral